UACGUAGGCAGCAAGCGUUGUUCGGAGUUACUGGGCGUAAAGAGUGCGUAGGCGGUCCUAUAAGUUCCGUGUGAAAUCUCCCGGCUCAACUGGGAGGGUGCGCGGAAGACUGUAGGGCUAGAGUAUGGGAGAGGUAAGCGGAAUUCCUGGUGUAGCGGUGAAAUGCGUAGAUAUCAGGAGGAACACCUGUGGUGUAGACAGCUUACUGGACCAUCACUGACGCUGAGACACGAAAGCGUGGGUAGCAAACAGG
RNAcentral lists this ribosomal RNA (253 nucleotides) under uncultured bacterium. RNAcentral's name for it is "partial 16S ribosomal RNA". It matches the Rfam family "Bacterial small subunit ribosomal RNA", at positions 524 to 776 of the family's 1533-position model. The record is from RNAcentral.